Molecule: transfer RNA, 75 nt
Filed under: Rhizobium sp.
Lineage: Bacteria; Pseudomonadati; Pseudomonadota; Alphaproteobacteria; Hyphomicrobiales; Rhizobiaceae
Also listed under: 28 other names
Description: tRNA-Gln
Rfam family: tRNA
About the family: Transfer RNA (tRNA) molecules are approximately 80 nucleotides in length. Their secondary structure includes four short double-helical elements and three loops (D, anti-codon, and T loops).
Source: RNAcentral
UGGGGCGUCGCCAAGCGGUAAGGCAACGGCCUUUGAUGCCGUCAUACCCUGGUUCGAAUCCAGGCGCCCCAGCCA